This is a long non-coding RNA of Hyaena hyaena (striped hyena), 234 nucleotides long. RefSeq lists it as uncharacterized. The record is from RefSeq and is a predicted model, not a curated record. The transcript has 3 exons. NCBI's taxonomy places the organism in Eukaryota, Metazoa, Chordata, Mammalia, Carnivora, Hyaenidae.
GGGAGAGACUGAAGAAGCCAGUCUGUGUUGCAUUUCCGGCAGCCGAAGGCACAGCCUUUAUAAGUGAUGAAGACUACGCCCAGCACAAUGGCCAGGAGGAAGCCGAUCACAUCCAAAGAAUGGUACUGGUACCAGCGUUGAUAGCUGAAUUGGAACAACCACGUCCAAACUGGGUUAGAUGCUACAGCCCUCAGUGUGGAUGCACCGCAAGAAGAAAGAGAAGGUGGAGGGAGA